This 652-nucleotide ribosomal RNA is filed under the name Codium duthieae. RNAcentral describes it as "bacterial SSU rRNA". It matches the Rfam family "Eukaryotic small subunit ribosomal RNA", at positions 1141 to 1830 of the family's 1831-position model. The record is from RNAcentral. Lineage: Eukaryota; Viridiplantae; Chlorophyta; Ulvophyceae; Bryopsidales; Codiaceae.
AACUUGAAGGAAUUGACGGAAGGGCACCACCAGGCGUGGAUGCUGCGGCUUAAUUUGACUCAACACGGGGAACCUUACGGGGUUUGGACACAGGUAGGAUUGACGGAUUGAAAGCUCUUUCUUGAUUCCGUGGAUGGUGGUGCAUGGCCGAUCUCAGCCCGUGGGUUGACUUGUCAGGUUCACUCCGGUAACGCGCGAGACCCCGACUUACCAAAUAGCGCACCCCGGCAUGCCGGGUGCGGUGCUUCUUGGAGGGACUUCCGGUGAGAGCCGGCUGAAGUCGGGGCAAUAUCAGGUCAGUGAUGCCCUUAGUUAUCCUCGGUUGCACGCGUCCUACAAUGUGGCGUCCAACGAGUUCUCCCCUCGCCCGAGAGGCUUUGGGUAAUCUGUGAAGAGUGCCACGUGACGGGGCUAGACUCUUGAUAUUCUUGGUCUUCAACGAGGAAUGCCUAGUAGUCGUGGGUCAGUAUCCCACGACGAUUACGUCCCUGCCCUUUGUACACACCGCCCGUCGCUGAUACUGAUGGCAGAACUGGCAAAACCGGGGGACGCAGCCCUUUUGUUGGGAGGCGGAACCCGCUGANCCACUUUGCUAGAAGAAUCAAAAGUCGUAACAAGGUCUCCGUUGGGGGAAACAGCGGAAGGNAUCAUU